Non-coding RNA from Podarcis lilfordi (Lilford's wall lizard), 212 nucleotides. The record is from the annotation of a GenBank genome assembly. Lineage: Eukaryota; Metazoa; Chordata; Lepidosauria; Squamata; Lacertidae.
UUCUGUUUUUUUUUUUUUUUUUUUUUAUAAUAUUUUUUAUUGCAUUUUUCCAGAUAGAAAUACAAGGUCAGAUAUACAAAGAAAUAACAGAAAAGAGAAAGAAAAAGAAGAAAAUCAUCUUUUCAAAGCAUUUUUCCAUAACCAACCGGACUUCCCCCCGUCCCCCUCACCUUGCGUUCUUUACAAUAAAAUUUUUCAGCAAAUUAUAACCU